RNAcentral lists this ribosomal RNA (253 nucleotides) under uncultured bacterium. Its description in RNAcentral is "partial 16S ribosomal RNA". It matches the Rfam family "Bacterial small subunit ribosomal RNA", at positions 524 to 776 of the family's 1533-position model. The record is from RNAcentral.
UACGUAGGGUGCGAGCGUUGUCCGGAAUUAUUGGGCGUAAAGGGCUCGUAGGCGGUUUGUCACGUCGGGAGUGAAAACCUUGGGCUUAACUCAGGGCUUGCUUUCGAUACGGGCAGACUAGAGGUAUGCAGGGGAGAACGGAAUUCCUGGUGUAGCGGUGAAAUGCGCAGAUAUCAGGAGGAACACCGGUGGCGAAGGCGGUUCUCUGGGCAUGAUCUGACGCUGAGGAGCGAAAGUGUGGGGAGCAAACAGG